RNAcentral lists this long non-coding RNA (878 nucleotides) under Nicotiana benthamiana. Its description in RNAcentral is "long non-coding RNA (NBEN_LNC035085)". The record is from RNAcentral. Lineage: Eukaryota; Viridiplantae; Streptophyta; Magnoliopsida; Solanales; Solanaceae.
GGUAGGGGAGGGUUAGGGUGGGAAGAGGGUAGCGGACGCUCAUAGAUUAAGGAUUGGGCCGUGGAACAUAGGGACUCUGACGGGUAAGUCCACUGAGUUGGCGAAGGUUCUUCAGAAAAGGAGGGUUAACAUAGCCUGUGUCCAGGAGAUUAGGUAGAAAGGGUAUGAUAGGUUAAUGUCAUUAAGUUGGUUAUUGGGGGUUGCGUCCUUAACGUCAUCAGCACUAACGUGCCGCAGGCAGGCUUAGACGAGGAGGUUAAGAGGCGCUUUUGGGAGGACUUGGAUGAUAUGGUGAGUNNNNNNNNNNNNNNNNNNNNNNNNNNNNNNNNNNCUUUUGGGAGGACUUGGAUGAUAUGGUGAGUAGUAUUCCCCAAUCUGAGAAGUUAGUUAUUAGAGGGGACUUUAAUGGUCAUAUUGGGGCUGAUGCUCGUGGGUAUGGUGAGGUGCACGGUGGCUUCGACUUUGGGGUUAAGAACAGAGGAGGCACGUCACUGCUUGAUUUCGCCAAAGCUUCCGAGCUUCUGAUUGCGAACUCGACAUUUCAGAAGAGAGAGGAGCACUUGGUCACCUUCAAGAGUUCGGCCGCGAGGACUCAGAUUGAUUACCUCCUCCUUAGAAGGAGCGAUAGCGGUAUGUGCAAGGACUGCAAGGUUACUCCGGGAGAGUCCCUUUCGACUCUUCAUAGACUUCUAGUGAUGGAUGUCGGUCUUUAGAUGAAGAGGAAGAGGAGGGGGGCUCGGGGACAACCGCAGAUUAGAUGGGGCGUUUCGACUAAGGAGAAAGCACAGGAAUUGGAGAGGAGGUUAGCUGAGGGCGGAGCUUGGAGAAGUUCUGGGGAAGCGGACGCUAUGUGGUCAGAGACGGCGAACUUGGUUNNN